This 254-nucleotide ribosomal RNA is filed under the name uncultured bacterium. RNAcentral's name for it is "partial 16S ribosomal RNA". It matches the Rfam family "Bacterial small subunit ribosomal RNA", at positions 524 to 776 of the family's 1533-position model. The record is from RNAcentral.
UACGUAGGGUGCGAGCGUUGUCCGGAAUUAUUGGGCGUAAAGAGCUCGUAGGCGGUCUGUCGCGUCGAUCGUGAAAACUUGGGGCUUAACCCUGAGCUUGCGGUCGAUACGGGCAUGACUGGAGUUCGGCAGGGGAGACUGGAAUUCCUGGUGUAGCGGUGAAAUGCGCAGAUAUCAGGAGGAACACCGGUGGCGAAGGCGGGUCUCUGGACCGAUACUGACGCUGAGGAGCGAAAGCGUGGGGAGCGAACAGG